RNAcentral lists this ribosomal RNA (491 nucleotides) under uncultured bacterium. RNAcentral's name for it is "partial 16S ribosomal RNA". It matches the Rfam family "Bacterial small subunit ribosomal RNA", at positions 29 to 507 of the family's 1533-position model. The record is from RNAcentral.
AGUGAACGCUGGCGGUAGGCCUAACACAUGCAAGUCGAACGGCAGCACAGUAGGAGCUUGCUCUUACGGGUGGCGAGUGGCGGACGGGUGAGGAAUACAUCGGAAUCUACUUUUUCGUGGGGGAUAACGUAGGGAAACUUACGCUAAUACCGCAUACGACCUACGGGUGAAAGCAGGGGAUCUUCGGACCUUGCGCGAUUGAAUGAGCCGAUGUCGGAUUAGCUAGUUGGCGGGGUAAAGGCCCACCAAGGCGACGAUCCGUAGCUGUCUGAGAGGAUGAUCAGCCACACUGGAACUGAGACACGGUCCAGACUCCUACGGGAGGCAGCAGUGGGGAAUAUUGGACAAUGGGCGCAAGCCUGAUCCAGCCAUACCGCGUGGGUGAAGAAGGCCUUCGGGUUGUAAAGCCCUUUUGUUGGGAAAGAAAAGCAGCAGGUUAAUACCCCGCUGUUCUGACGGUACCCAAAGAAUAAGCACCGGCUAACUUCGUG